Long non-coding RNA from Carcharodon carcharias (great white shark), 575 nucleotides. RefSeq lists it as uncharacterized. Lineage: Eukaryota; Metazoa; Chordata; Chondrichthyes; Lamniformes; Lamnidae. The transcript is spliced from 5 exons. The record is from RefSeq and is a predicted model, not a curated record.
GUUAUGUCACUUCCGCCAUAUUCGCCAAUAAAUGGAGGGGCUAGGCGGUAGUAUCUUUCUCUUUCGCUGCUGGGGCUCUGAGUGAGCUGAAUAAAUGUCGGCUCCGACUUCUUUCGGGCCUGGAGCCUGCUCACCACGUGCGCGCCGCGCUUGGCGGCACGCGGUCGAGAUUCGAGGCCCUCCUGGACUUGACCCGUGAAUACUGGGCAACAGGCUGUGACCUGCCAAGAUCUGAGUAAAUCAGCAUCAUGAGCAUGUGGGAUUGGACAUGUGCCAAGUUGGGGCAUUAGAAACAAAACUUUUGAUGCAGAUGUUCUUAAUGAAGUGAAAAAACCCACGAAGUGACUAUGGAGCAAGAAGUCUCAAGUCCAUGUGUUACUGGGAUUAGCUCAGCUCAGCUGAGCAUGUCAAGUGAAGAUGCUGGAGUUGAAGAUCAGUACCUAUAUUUUUAUAAUGUAAUUUGAAACUGGUUUAUUAAAACACUUUAAAUUUGUCUGGUUGUACAGAAGACCUUAAUAUCAUCCUGCACAAUCGUUUUGUUAAUGACCAGCUCCAAUAAAAACCUUGCAUUUGCA